RNAcentral lists this ribosomal RNA (339 nucleotides) under uncultured Pseudomonadota bacterium. Its description in RNAcentral is "bacterial SSU rRNA". It matches the Rfam family "Bacterial small subunit ribosomal RNA", at positions 29 to 351 of the family's 1533-position model. The record is from RNAcentral. Lineage: Bacteria; Pseudomonadati; Pseudomonadota.
AACGAACGCUGGCGGCGUGCCUAACACAUGCAAGUCGAGCGUGAAAGUUCCUUCGGGAAUGAGUAAAGCGGCAGACGGGUGAGUAAUACAUAGGUAAUCUACCUUCGAGCUUGGGAUAACCCCGCGAAAGUGGAGCUAAUACCGGAUAAGACCACGUGGCAUACGCUACGGGGUAGAAGGUGGCUUGUAUUUAUAUGAGCUAUCACUUGAGGAUGAGUCCAUGGCCUAUCAGCUUGUUGGUGAGGUAAGAGCUCACCAAGGCUAUGACGGGUAGCUGGUCUGAGAGGACGACCAGCCACACUGGGACUGAGACACGGCCCAGACUCCUACGGGAGGCAG